Molecule: ribosomal RNA, 1565 nt
Filed under: Hylomys suillus (short-tailed gymnure)
Lineage: Eukaryota; Metazoa; Chordata; Mammalia; Eulipotyphla; Erinaceidae
Description: 16S ribosomal RNA
Rfam family: Bacterial large subunit ribosomal RNA
Source: RNAcentral
UUUCAAAAACUAGCCCAAUAAACCCCCUCCCCUAACAAAACCUUCCUUGCUUUAUUUAAAACAAAACAUUUAUAGGACUAGUAUAGGAGAUAGAAAUUCCUUUUUGGAGCUAUAGAGAUAGUACCGCAAGGGAAAGAUUGAAAGAAAAUUUAUUGAGAAAAAAAGCAAAGAUUUCACCUUCUACCUUUUGCAUAAUGAGUUACCUAGACANCUUUUGCACAGAGAACUUAAGUAUAAAAUCCCGAACCCAAACGAGCUACUUAAAGGCAGCUGAAAGAGCCAACUCAUCUAUGUAGCAAAAUAGUGAGAAGACCCUUAAGUAAAGGUGAAAAGCCUAACGAGUUUGGUGAUAGCUGGUUACUCAGUAAAGAAUUUUAGUUCAACUUUAAAUUUACCUAAGGAAUUUUACCCAAAAUGUAAAUUUAAAAGUUAGUCUAUAGAGGUACAGCUCUUUAGACAAAGGUUACAACCUUAAUUAGUGAAUAACUCUUUAUUCCUACCAUAGUGGGCCUAAGAGCAGCCAUCAAUAAAGAAAGCGUUAAAGCUCAACAAAAAAAAAUAUUAUAAUUUCAUAAAAAUUAAUUUCCUAAUUAUAAACUGAGUUGUUCUACCUUUUUGUAGAAGAAAUAAUGCUAGUAUGAGUAACAAGAAAUAAUGUUUCUCCUUGCACAAGCUUAUAUCAGAUCGAAUAAAUCACUGAUAGUUAACAACAUAAUAACUAUAACCCAAUCAAUUAAUUGGUUAUUUAUCUUAUUGUUAAUCCAACACAGGAGUGCUUCAAGGAAAGACUAAAAGAAGUAAAAGGAACUCGGCAAACACAAGCCCCGCCUGUUUACCAAAAACAUCNCCUUUAGCAUAAAAAGUAUUAGAGGCAAAGCCUGCCCAGUGACAUAAUUUGUUUAACGGCCGCGGUCCCCUGCCCGUGCAAAGGUAGCAUAAUCCCUUGUUCUUUAAUUUAGGACUAGUAUGAAUGGCCUAACGAGGGCUUAACUGUUUCUUACUUCCAGUCAGUGAAAUUGCCCUUCCCGUGAAAAGGCGGGGAUAAAAAAAUAAGACGAGAAGACCCUAUGGAGCUUUAGCUAAUAACCCACCAAUGGUAAAUUUCUCCUAUAGGUUCAACAACACUUCUACCUGGGUUUUAAGCUUCGGUUGGGGUGACCUCGGAGAACAAAAAAUCCUCCGAGAGAUAAAAUUAAGACUUACCAGUCAAGACAAUUUUAUCUUUAUUGAUCCAAAUUUAUUUGAUCAACGGAACAAGUUACCCUAGGGAUAACAGCGCAAUCCUACUUAAGAGUUCAUAUCGAAAGUACGGGUUUACGACCUCGAUGUUGGAUCAGGACAUCCAGGUGGUGCAACAGCUACCAAGGGUUCGUUUGUUCAACGAUUAAAGUCCUACGUGAUCUGAGUUCAGACCGGAGUAAUCCAGGUCGGUUUCUAUCUAUUAAGUGUUCCUCCUAGUACGAAAGGACCAGAGAAACAAGGCCUCCUAAUUAUUAGUGCCCUAAAUAAAAAGAUGAAUCUAUCUUAAUCUUUUUAACAUUUUAAUAAGCCCUAGAAAAGGGCUU